GCGGGGGUUGCCAAGCCAGGUCAAAGGCGCAGGGCUUAGGACCCUGUCUCAUAGGAGUUCGUGCGUUCAAAUCGCACCCCCCGCA
RNAcentral lists this transfer RNA (85 nucleotides) under archaeon. RNAcentral describes it as "tRNA-Leu". It matches the Rfam family "tRNA". From Rfam's summary of the family: Transfer RNA (tRNA) molecules are approximately 80 nucleotides in length. Their secondary structure includes four short double-helical elements and three loops (D, anti-codon, and T loops). Further hydrogen bonds mediate the characteristic L-shaped molecular structure. tRNAs have two regions of fundamental functional importance: the anti-codon, which is responsible for specific mRNA codon recognition, and the 3' end, to which the tRNAs corresponding amino acid is attached (by aminoacyl-tRNA synthetases). tRNAs cope with the degeneracy of the genetic code in two manners: having more than one tRNA (with a specific anti-codon) for a particular amino acid; and 'wobble' base-pairing, i.e. permitting non-standard base-pairing at the 3rd anti-codon position. The record is from RNAcentral. RNAcentral also lists the same sequence under 2 other names.